Mesocricetus auratus (golden hamster) is the source of this 47-nucleotide non-coding RNA. The record is from Rfam. Lineage: Eukaryota; Metazoa; Chordata; Mammalia; Rodentia; Cricetidae.
GAAUAGGCUCCAUUAGGAGCCACUAAAAUCAAGUCUUUUAUUGAACU